UUAACACAUGCAAGUCGAGGGGCAGCAUGGUCUUAGCUUGCUAAGGCCGAUGGCGACCGGCGCACGGGUGAGUAACACGUAUCCAACCUGCCGUCUACUCUUGGACAGCCUUCUGAAAGGAAGAUUAAUACAAGAUGGCAUCAUGAGUCCGCAUGUUCACAUGAUUAAAGGUAUUCCGGUAGACGAUGGGGAUGCGUUCCAUUAGAUAGUAGGCGGGGUAACGGCCCACCUAGUCUUCGAUGGAUAGGGGUUCUGAGAGGAAGGUCCCCCACAUUGGAACUGAGACACGGUCCAAACUCCUACGGGAGGCAGCAGUGAGGAAUAUUGGUCAAUGGGCGAGAGCCUGAACCAGCCAAGUAGCGUGAAGGAUGACUGCCCUAUGGGUUGUAAACUUCUUUUAUAAAGGAAUAAAGUCGGGUAUGGAUACCCGUUUGCAUGUACUUUAUGAAUAAGGAUCGGCUAACUCCGUGCCAGCAGCCGCGGUAAUACGGAGGAUCCGAGCGUUAUCCGGAUUUAUUGGGUUUAAAGGGAGCGUAGAUGGAUGUUUAAGUCAGUUGUGAAAGUUUGCGGCUCAACCGUAAAAUUGCAGUUGAUACUGGAUAUCUUGAGUGCAGUUGAGGCAGGCGGAAUUCGUGGUGUAGCGGUGGAAUGCUUAGAUAUCACGAAGACUCCGAUUGCGAAGGCAGCCUGCUAAGCUGCAACUGA
RNAcentral lists this ribosomal RNA (705 nucleotides) under uncultured Bacteroidales bacterium. Its description in RNAcentral is "bacterial SSU rRNA". It matches the Rfam family "Bacterial small subunit ribosomal RNA", at positions 48 to 743 of the family's 1533-position model. The record is from RNAcentral. Lineage: Bacteria; Pseudomonadati; Bacteroidota; Bacteroidia; Bacteroidales.